RNAcentral lists this transfer RNA (84 nucleotides) under Spirochaetaceae bacterium. RNAcentral's name for it is "tRNA-Leu". It matches the Rfam family "tRNA". From Rfam's summary of the family: Transfer RNA (tRNA) molecules are approximately 80 nucleotides in length. Their secondary structure includes four short double-helical elements and three loops (D, anti-codon, and T loops). Further hydrogen bonds mediate the characteristic L-shaped molecular structure. tRNAs have two regions of fundamental functional importance: the anti-codon, which is responsible for specific mRNA codon recognition, and the 3' end, to which the tRNAs corresponding amino acid is attached (by aminoacyl-tRNA synthetases). tRNAs cope with the degeneracy of the genetic code in two manners: having more than one tRNA (with a specific anti-codon) for a particular amino acid; and 'wobble' base-pairing, i.e. permitting non-standard base-pairing at the 3rd anti-codon position. The record is from RNAcentral. Lineage: Bacteria; Pseudomonadati; Spirochaetota; Spirochaetia; Spirochaetales; Spirochaetaceae. RNAcentral also lists the same sequence under 1 other name.
GCGGUCGUGGUGGAAUUGGUAGACACGCUAGCUUGAGGUGCUAGUGGUCGAAAGGCUAUGCUGGUUCAAGUCCAGUCGACCGCA